CUCAUUGAAAGUGAUCCAGUACUUCACUCUAUCUCCGAACGCUUUGAAACAAGUGAAUGCAUAACGCUCAAAAUCAUCCCUGCACACUUUUCUUAGCAUUUCAUUUUGUCUUCAUGAUCACAUUUUCAGCCAAAGAUGAUAUACUUACACGACUUGUCUGCUCAGCCAUCCUUCAUAUCUGUCUUCUAAAGCUUGUGGGAGAUCCCAGUGAUACAAUGUCACAUAAGGUUUGAUUCCUUUGGCUAAAAGCGUGUCUAUGAGAGUGUUGUAGUACUUAAGUCCAUCUGGGUUUACUUCCCCUGUUCCAUCUGUUCAAACGUUUGAAACUCAGUGAUACACUACUCUUAGGCUUAGCACAGCUUAAUGAAUUAGACUUACUAGGGAAUAUUCUAGUCCAAGAUAUAGAGAAUCUGUAAGCAUCCAUUCCCAGAUCUUUCAUAAGAUCUAUAUCACUCUGUGAAAGCAAAAAAAAAUCAGAAAAAGUGUUCUUGCUUGUUAGAUUCUCUCAUUUAUUUAUCCUGUUGCGUCUUAUCUCAGAUUUGUUUGGACGUGGUUGCUCUAUGGAGAAGCAACCUUACUUUUUUUUUAUCUUCAAGUAUAAGUCAACUUAUGCUUCUAUUUUAGGAAAAACAUACAUACAUGGAAUCUAUGAUAUUGAUCAACCGUAGUAUCCGCAUUGCUGAAAUCCAAUAUCUUUCCUGUUGAUCAAUAACAAAUAAACAUUAAAAUUGGACUUUUCUGGGUUCUCUGUAACUUUUUGUUUGAUACCUGGUUUCUUGGUGAAAGUGUCCCAUAUGCUAUCUCCUUUGUUUCCUUCAUUCACAGCUCCUUCAAACUGGUUUAUUGCAAGUAAGUGUUUGUGGUUUGAUCAAAAUAUUGAUCAUUUGAAUCUUUCUUAAAUCAGUUUGUUGAAGAAGGAGAAGAAUGUCACCUGGUAAGCUGAAGAAGCUGUCCCGAACACAAACCCAUCUGGAAAACUCUCUCUGGUAAUAGAUUCCGAUGAAACUUGCUGACGAGACGCGAUGAAGACCAGAUACAGAACCAGGACGAGU
RNAcentral lists this long non-coding RNA (1052 nucleotides) under Brassica rapa (field mustard). RNAcentral's name for it is "long non-coding RNA (BRAP_LNC007804)". The record is from RNAcentral. Lineage: Eukaryota; Viridiplantae; Streptophyta; Magnoliopsida; Brassicales; Brassicaceae.